Long non-coding RNA from Chelonia mydas (Green sea turtle), 594 nucleotides. RefSeq lists it as uncharacterized. The record is from RefSeq and is a predicted model, not a curated record. Lineage: Eukaryota; Metazoa; Chordata; Testudines; Cheloniidae. The transcript has 3 exons.
AAAAACUACAGGAAACUACAGGAAACUACAGGCCCGUUAGUUUGACCUCAAUUGUAUUCAAGGUCUUGGAAGAAAUUUUGAAAGAGAAAGUAGUUAAGGACAUAGAGGCAAAUGGUAAUUGAGAUAAAAUACAACAUUGUACAAAAGGUGCCAGACCAACAUGAUAACUUUAAAAAAAAAAAAAAAAUCAGUUCUCUUAUUAACUAAAUAGGAAAUGCAGUAGAUCAAAUCUACCUGGGUUUCAGUAAGGCAUUUGAUACAUUUCCACAUGGGAAUUUAUUAGUUAAAUUGGAGAAUUAAAAAGGUGGAUAAGAAACUGGUUAAAAGGGAAAUCAAUUCAUAGAACCGUAGGCCUGGAAGGGACAUCCAUAGCAAAUUGUUUCAAUGCUGAAUUACCCUGACGGUUAAGAAGCUUUUCCUAAUGUCCAACCUAAACCUCCCUUGCUGCAAUUUAAGUCAUUGCCUUUUUGUUGUAGUAUGUCUACUUUAAAUGGACACAAAUCGGGAACAGUAACAUACACAAGCCAGUAGGAGAACACUUCAAUCUCCCUGGACAUUCUAUAACCGAUUUAAAAGUAGCCAUACUACAACCAA